CAGUCGCCACGGUAAUACGGAGGGUGCAAGCGUUAAUCGGAAUUACUGGGCGUAAAGCGCACGCAGGCGGUCUGACAAGUCAGAUGUGAAAUUCCCGGGCUUAACCUGGGAACUGCAUUUGAAACUGUCAGGCUGGAGUCUUGUAGAGGGGGGUAGAAUUCCAGGUGUAGCGGUGAAAUGCGUAGAGAUCUGGAGGAAUACCGGUGGCGAAGGCGGCCCCCUGGACAAAGACUGACGCUCAGGUGCGAAAGCGUGGGGAGCAAACAGGAUUAGAUACCCGCGUAGUCCCUGUCUCUUAUAC
This 301-nucleotide ribosomal RNA is filed under the name uncultured bacterium. RNAcentral describes it as "partial 16S ribosomal RNA". It matches the Rfam family "Bacterial small subunit ribosomal RNA", at positions 509 to 807 of the family's 1533-position model. The record is from RNAcentral.